RNAcentral lists this ribosomal RNA (460 nucleotides) under uncultured bacterium. RNAcentral describes it as "partial 16S ribosomal RNA". It matches the Rfam family "Bacterial small subunit ribosomal RNA", at positions 338 to 795 of the family's 1533-position model. The record is from RNAcentral.
UCUACGGGUGGCAGCAGUGAGGAAUCUUGGUCAAUGGACGAGAGUCUGAACCAGCCAAGUAGCGUGAAGGAUGACUGCCCUAUGGGUUGUAAACUUCUUUUAUGAAGGAAUAAAACGAGGCACGUGUGCCUUUUUGCAUGUACUUUAUGAAUAAGGAUCGGCUAACUCCGUGCCAGCAGCCGCGGUAAUACGGAGGAUCCGAGCGUUAUCCGGAUUUAUUUGGUUUAAAGGGAGCGUAGAUGGGUUGUUAAGUCAGUUGUGAAAGUUUGCGGCUCAACCGUAAAAUUGCAAUUGAUACUGGCAGUCUUGAGUACAGUUGAGGUAGGCGGAAUUCGUGGUGUAGCGGUGGAAUGCGUAGAUAUAACGAAGAACCCCGAUUGCGAAGGCAGCUGACUAAUCUGUGACUGACAUUGAGGCUCGAAAGUGUGGGUAUCGAACAGGAUUAGAUACCCGAGUAGUC